RNAcentral lists this ribosomal RNA (253 nucleotides) under uncultured bacterium. Its description in RNAcentral is "partial 16S ribosomal RNA". It matches the Rfam family "Bacterial small subunit ribosomal RNA", at positions 524 to 776 of the family's 1533-position model. The record is from RNAcentral.
UACGUAGGUGGCAAGCGUUGUCCGGAUUUACUGGGCGUAAAGGGCGCGUAGGCGGCCUGCUAAGUCGAACGUGAAAUCCCUGGGCUCAACCCAGGAACUGCGUCCGAUACUGGUUGGCUUGAAUCCGGGAGAGGGACGUGGAAUUCCAGGUGUAGCGGUGAAAUGCGUAGAUAUCGGGAGGAACACCGGUGGCGAAGGCGGUUCUCUGGGCCUGUGCUGACGCUGAGGAGCGAAAGCGUGGGGAGCAAACAGG